Molecule: ribosomal RNA, 624 nt
Filed under: Rhodococcus erythropolis
Lineage: Bacteria; Bacillati; Actinomycetota; Actinomycetes; Mycobacteriales; Nocardiaceae
Description: bacterial SSU rRNA
Rfam family: Bacterial small subunit ribosomal RNA
Source: RNAcentral
GAGCGGUAAGGCCUUUCGGGGUACACGAGCGGCGAACGGGUGAGUAACACGUGGGUGAUCUGCCCUGCACUUCGGGAUAAGCCUGGGAAACUGGGUCUAAUACCGGAUAUGACCUCCUAUCGCAUGGUGGGUGGUGGAAAGAUUUAUCGGUGCAGGAUGGGCCCGCGGCCUAUCAGCUUGUUGGUGGGGUAAUGGCCUACCAAGGCGACGACGGGUAGCCGACCUGAGAGGGUGACCGGCCACACUGGGACUGAGACACGGCCCAGACUCUACGGGAGGCAGCAGUGGGGAAUAUUGCACAAUGGGCGAAAGCCUGAUGCAGCGACGCCGCGUGAGGGAUGACGGCUUCGGGUUGUAAACCUCUUUCAGCAGGGACGAAGCGCAAGUGACGGUACCUGCAGAAGAAGCACCGGCUAACUACGUGCCAGCAGCCGCGGUAAUACGUAGGGUGCAAGCGUUGUCCGGAAUUACUGGGCGUAAAGAGUUCGUAGGCGGUUUGUCGCGGUCGUUUGUGAAAACCAGCAGCUCAACUGCUGGCUUGCAGGCGAUACGGGCAGACUUGAGUACUGCAGGGGAGACUGGAAUUCCUGGUGUAGCGGUGAAAUGCGCAGAUAUCAGGANGAA